GACGAACGCUGGCGGCGCGCUUAACACAUGCAAGUCGUGCGGUGUCGAAGGCAAGUCUUACGACAAGCCUUCGACACAGCGGCGAACGGGUGAGUAACACGUGAGUAGCUGUCCUAAGGAGGGGGAUAACGCCUGGAAACGGGUGCUAACACCCCAUAUGCCUCGCAAGAGGUGAAAGUGUACUUGCUACAGCCUUAGGGUGUGCUCGCGGCCUAUCAGCCAGUUGGUGAGGUAACGGCUCACCAAGGCCAAGACGGGUAGCCGGCCUGAGAGGGUGUACGGCCACACUGGAAUUGAGAUACGGUCCAGACUCCUACGGGAGGCAGCAGUGGGGAAUCUUGGGCAAUGGGCGAAAGCCUGACCCAGCGACGCCGCGUUGGGGAUGAAGCCCUUCGGGGCGUAAACCCAUGUUGUAGGGGACGAAGAAAGUGACGGUACCUACGAGAAAGCCCCGGCCAACUACGUG
RNAcentral lists this ribosomal RNA (466 nucleotides) under uncultured bacterium. RNAcentral describes it as "bacterial SSU rRNA". It matches the Rfam family "Bacterial small subunit ribosomal RNA", at positions 28 to 507 of the family's 1533-position model. The record is from RNAcentral.